Pelobates cultripes (western spadefoot toad) is the source of this 231-nucleotide non-coding RNA. The record is from the annotation of a GenBank genome assembly. NCBI's taxonomy places the organism in Eukaryota, Metazoa, Chordata, Amphibia, Anura, Pelobatidae.
CCUCUAUCACCUGAGGUUGUUUUUAAUCUCCUCAGACUGAUUGGUGAACUUUAUGCAGUACUGAAGUCACAGUUUCCAGUACAUUGAAAAUCUCAUGGUUUACUGAUCAAAAUCAGCCUGGUGAUUCUCUCUAUGUAGCUGGUGCUUGGAAGACACUCAGAGUCUGAACAGAUCAUGGAGAGUCUAUCUCCACCCCUAUGCUGGGCUUGCCAGUUGCUCAGCACAUAUCAC